Long non-coding RNA from Conger conger (European conger), 1323 nucleotides. RefSeq lists it as uncharacterized. NCBI's taxonomy places the organism in Eukaryota, Metazoa, Chordata, Actinopteri, Anguilliformes, Congridae. The record is from RefSeq and is a predicted model, not a curated record. The transcript is spliced from 3 exons.
UGUUUAUUGGAGACUUUUCUCUACGGUUUGGAGAUUGACUUCUUCAAGCUUCACUUGUUCAUUCUUUCUUUGAGGAAGUAUGUAUUGUGAAUACCAAAUACACCCAUGUGUAAAUGUUGUACCCUUGGUGACUGCACUUGUGGUUAUCACAUUGGGUGUGGUAAAGUCAUGUUCUGGCGUGACCUAAAGAAAAGGACAGAGUGAACACCAUGAUGGCUGCUUCUGUGCAGAGCAGUCCAUGAGUAUUUGGACAGUGGUACAAUUUCUGUUCCUUUGGCUCUGUACACCAGCAAAUUGGAUUUGAAAUGAAACAAUGAAUAUGAGGUUAAAGUGCAGAUGGCCAGCUUUAAUUUGAGGGUGUAUAUAUAUUACAUUAAAUUACAUUAAUGGCAUUUGGCAGACGCUCUUAUCCAGAGCAACGUACAACAGUGCAACCCCAUAACCCGGGAUAAGUGCGCUGAAAGACCCUAGAGGGAAGUACAAUUUCAACUGCUACCUGCACAACAAAGAUAAGGACCAGGGCUUAUUUGAUCAUCUUUUUUUUCUUUUAUUUUGUUUUUCUUUCUUUUUUUAAUUGUAAUACCGCAACACACAAAUGUAUGAACAAACCACUUACCUAGCCAAACACUGCUUACCUAGCCAAACUAAACAUCCUGAUACACAAGUAAAUAUCACAGAAAGACAACAAUUAAGGUUUACAGGGAGGUAGCGAGGGACAUGGAGAGGUGCAGCUUGAAUCUUCAGUUUGCGCUUGAAGAUGGAAAGAGAUUCUACUGUUCUGACCUCCACUGGGAGUUCAUUCCACCACCAUGGAGCCAGAACAAACAGUAGUCGUGAGCGGGAGGUGGAAGUUCAGAGAGGGGGAGGCGCCAAGUGGCCUGUGGAGGCCGAACAAAGAGGUCUGGCAGGGGUGUAGGGUCUGAUGAUUUUUUGGAGGUAAGCUGGGGCAGACCCCUUAACUGCUUGGAAGGCUAGCACCAAUGUUUUGAAUUUGAUGCGAGUGGAGGGAAGUAAGCAGGGGGAUGACAUGCAAGUGUUUGGGAAGGUUGAAGACCAGACAAGCUGCAGCAUUCUGGAUAAGUUGGAGGGGUCUGAUGGCGGACGCUGGGAGGCCAGCCAAGAGGGAGUUGCAGUAGUCCAGACGGAACAAAACCAUCGCUUGGACCAGGAGCUGGGUCAAGUAGGGGGUAACAUAAGACCAGCUGUGGCAGACAAAGGGGAAAAGCCCCCAGCAGCCAAUGAACCGACCUACGAAGAAGUGACCAAUGGCAGACCAAUGAGUGAUGACAGUGCGCUGGAGCGGAGCGUCUGUUUGUACUCAGU